Molecule: long non-coding RNA, 523 nt
Organism: Pungitius pungitius (ninespine stickleback)
Lineage: Eukaryota; Metazoa; Chordata; Actinopteri; Perciformes; Gasterosteidae
Exons: 3
Source: RefSeq, a predicted model, not a curated record
CUAAUGGCGCAGGUUAGUGUGGGGAGUAGUGAGCACGCGCGAGGAAAUGAACAGACGCUAUCGACCAGAGCGCUAAGGAAAGAGGCAUCAUGGUGUGGGGACGCAUACUACUACUACUCGUGGUCCUGAUAUUAACUUCUGUGUGACUUGCAAGAGGAUACGGACGUUGAAGAGAGACGAUGGCCCCCCGCUGUCCCGUUUCGUCCUGCUGUUCUGCGUGUGCGCGCCUUUCACUGUGACUUCGCUACUGUGACAUUGCCCGCGUGGAUGGACGGCCGCCAGGGUGGAUCUUUGCAGUAUAAUGCCAAUGCACUCUGGUCCCACGUGAACCUGUUCUCUUUUAGCCAGUCUCAGAAACUGUGGCUCAAUCUCCUGGUCAAACAUGACCUUUCUCAUUCCUAGAUGAACGUGACUCGCUACCCCUGGAUUAUACUAAGGCAGGAUGGGAGUCCAAUCUGACCCUGCACAACUUGUAUUCAUGCAUGUUUAAUGACUCCUGAUUGAAAUACAAACAAUAAACACC